RNAcentral lists this ribosomal RNA (468 nucleotides) under uncultured bacterium. RNAcentral describes it as "partial 16S ribosomal RNA". It matches the Rfam family "Bacterial small subunit ribosomal RNA", at positions 28 to 507 of the family's 1533-position model. The record is from RNAcentral.
GACGAACGCUGGCGGCGUGCUUAACACAUGCAAGUCGAACGGAAAGGCCCUGCUUUUGUGGGGUGCUCGAGUGGCGAACGGGUGAGUAACACGUGAGUAACCUGCCCUUGACUUUGGGAUAACUUCAGGAAACUGGGGCUAAUACCGGAUAGGAGCUCCUGCUGCAUUGUGGGGGUUGGAAAGUUUCGGCGGUUGGGGAUGGACUCGCGGCUUAUCAGCUUGUUGGUGGGGUAGUGGCUUACCAAGGCUUUGACGGGUAGCCGGCCUGAGAGGGUGGCCGGCCACAUUGGGACUGAGAUACGGCCCAGACUCCUACGGGAGGCAGCAGUGGGGAAUAUUGCACAAUGGGCGGAAGCCUGAUGCAGCAACGCCGCGUGCGGGAUGACGGCCUUCGGGUUGUAAACCGCUUUCGCCUGUGACGAAGCGUGAGUGACGGUAAUGGGUAAAGAAGCACCGGCUAACUACGUG